Molecule: transfer RNA, 75 nt
Filed under: Acidimicrobiaceae bacterium
Lineage: Bacteria; Bacillati; Actinomycetota; Acidimicrobiia; Acidimicrobiales; Acidimicrobiaceae
Also listed under: 1 other name
Description: tRNA-Val
Rfam family: tRNA
About the family: Transfer RNA (tRNA) molecules are approximately 80 nucleotides in length.
Source: RNAcentral
GGGCGCUUAGCUCAGUUGGCUAGAGCAUCUCGUUUACACCGAGAGGGUCGGGGGUUCGAGUCCCUCAGCGCCCAC